GCUCUUUAACGAGGAAUCCCUAGUAAGCACAAGUCAUUAGCUUGUGCUGAUUACGUCCCUGCCCUUUGUACACACCGCCCGUCGCUACUACCGAUUGAAUGGCUUAGUGAGGCCUUCGGAUUGAGAUUCGGAGUUUGGCAACAGACCCUGGGUUUUGAAAAGUUGGUCAAACUUGGUCAUUUAGAGGAAGUAAAAGUCGUAACAAGGUUUCCGUAGGUGAACCUGCGGAAGGAUCAUUACCAAUUUUAGCGAACCUAACCCUUUGGGUUAUGGUCUCGCGGAAAUCUUGUAUUUAAAACCCCACUCUUUAUAAAAAUUGAAUCUAUUAUAUAUAAAUAAUAAAGAUCACUUUCAACAACGGAUCUCUUGGCUCUCGCAUCGAUGAAGAACGUAGCGAAGUGCGAUAAGUAAUGUGAAUUGCAGAAUUCCGUGAAUCAUCGAAUUUUUGAACGCAAAUUGCACUCUCUGGCAACCCGGGGAGUAUGCCUGUUUGAGGGUCAGUAUAAUUAAAAAAUCGGUGCGUUGCAAUUAUUUUUGUGACGUUUCCGGAGUUUGGGUUACCUUAACCUCUUUUGGUUAAGAGACCUAAAAUUGAUAUCUUUUGCGCAUUUUUAGACGUACAUAAAUUUUUUUUUAUUCGCCUAAUUUUUAAUGCCAAAAUCUAUUAGGUGCGACCAUGUGUAUGGUUACGUGUCUAUAAUUUUUCAUAAUUGACCUCAAAUCAGGUAAGGUACCCGCUGACUUAAGCAUAUCAAUAAGCGGAGAAAAGAAAAUAACAAUGAUUCCCCUAGUAACUGCGAGUGAAGAGGGAUAAGCUCAAAUUUUACAUCCGUAGGUUUUACCUGACCGAGUUGUAAUUUGAAGAGGCGUUUUCUGAGGUUCUGAUCAGUCCAAGUCCUUUGGGAUAAGGCAUCACGGAGGGUGAGAAUCCCGUUCGGUUGAUCAGAUCUUCUUUACGAUACGUUAUCAAAGAGUCAAGUUGUUUGGGAAUGCAGCUUAAAAUGGGAGGUAAAUUUCUCCUAAGGCUGAAUAACGGCGAGAGACCGAUAGCGAACAAGUACCGUGAGGGAAAGAUGAAAAGAACUUUGAAAAGAGAGUUAAAUAGUACGUGAAAUUGUUGAAAGGGAAACGAUUGAAGCCAGUCGUACUGGCGGGCAAUCAGCCUUUUGGGUAUGAUUAUGUGGGGCUUGAGGAGUUAAUCACCCUCAUCUUUGCAUAUUUGUGCACUUUGGAUGUACUUGCUCGUGUGGUAGGUUAACAUCAAUUUUAGUCAUCAUAAAAUGGCUGGAGGAAUGUAGCUUCGAUCUCGUAUUGAAGUGUUAUAGCCUUUGGUAGACGUGAUGAUUGGGAUUGAGGAUUGCAACGGAUACCCUUCGGGCUACCCGUUUGAUCUUUGGAAGUUGCUUUGGUGCUGAAAGCUUGCUUAUGGUAUCAAAGUUGACGUUUAAUAGGUUAGAAUGGGUUAAAUUCGUUAAGGAUGUUGACGUAAUGGCUUUAAACGACCCGUCUUGAAACCCGGACCAAGGAGUUUAACAUAUAUGCGAGUGUU
Molecule: ribosomal RNA, 1549 nt
Filed under: Rhizophagus arabicus
Lineage: Eukaryota; Fungi; Glomeromycota; Glomeromycetes; Glomerales; Glomeraceae
Description: eukaryotic LSU rRNA
Rfam family: Eukaryotic large subunit ribosomal RNA (bases 712-1549)
Source: RNAcentral